This is a long non-coding RNA of Hemibagrus wyckioides, 1645 nucleotides long. RefSeq lists it as uncharacterized. Lineage: Eukaryota; Metazoa; Chordata; Actinopteri; Siluriformes; Bagridae. The transcript has 3 exons. The record is from RefSeq and is a predicted model, not a curated record.
UUAAUGUUCUGGACAAUGAUGUGGUCAUUUCAUGUUGUGGACAGUCUGUGAAAAGCUAUUUCAUCCAAAUAUAUUUCAAACACAUGGAUGAAACAACACUUUAUAUAUAUAUUUUUUAACACUGUUAAUUCUAUUUGAAAAUGUUUUGAAAGCCAAUCACAUCCACCAGAGUUUACGACCCAUAGAAACCUUUCAAGAUAUUUCUUGCACCAUAUUUAAGCGCGGAAACGUGUAAUCAUUUUAAAACAUUAAAAAGAGAGAGAGAGAGAGAGAGAGAGAGAGAGAAAACAUUUGGAGUUUCCUUUUAUAAACACACAGCUUGCUUGUCACUGUGCAUGCUCUACGCAGCAAUAUGUUCACACGACCUCUCGACACUCAAUUUCUUAGAUUAGCUCAAGUGGUUUAUUUAUAAUAACUGCCUCGGAUCAUUUGAAAUGCCAUAAUUUAUGCACGCGGAUUAAAGUGAGAGUAACUUUGGAGAGCUAGUAACCGUUCCUGUUCCUGAUCUUCUCGUUUAGCUCGCAUGAUGCUUAUUUUUUUAUUUUCUAUUCUCAGAGGUAUUGGUUGAAAACAGAAGUAAGACAAAAAAACAAACAAAAAGAAACAAAACAAAAAAGUGCAACACUGCAUUUUUAACAUUUUCUUUUACUAAAAAUGCGUCUCUACGUGUCUAGCUAAAUGCAUGCACAGAAUGUUUGUCAGGCAGGGCAAGCUAUGAAAGAAGGAAAAAAAGUUUUGGUAAUAAAUAGAAGUAUAAAUGAAGUUGUUUUUUUUGUUUUUUGUUAUAUUUGUACAGUGAGCUUGUUUAUCUGGCUGACAGGAUAUAAUACAUCUCUCACUGCCAAACGGCUCUACAGUGAUGCCACGAGCCCCGGAAUGUUCUGUUGUGUGACAGUUACAUCAGUGUUACACCAUCCGGCUGCCAGACGUCACAGAAUGAGACAAAGGGUGCACUUGAUUUCGUGCCCUGAAGAGUGCCCACAUUGCCCUGGCGGAGGGAGGAUGUCAAGACUGUUCAAAACCUGCAAGAGAAAGACAGGAUGUCAGAGAUGGACUCAGGAGAAAGUGGUGAGACGUCUCUCUGCCCUGACAGCUUGACGUCGGAACAGGGGAAAGCCUGUAUGGAUCAAGGAAACCGCGGCUAGAAAUGAUCAGACCAGGACCCCUCAAUACGGUGCACUCUUCAAUCACUCCAUAAGGCUCGAAAAGGCGGUACACAUCCUCCUCCGUCUGCUGCUUGUUCAGCAUGCCAACAAACAGCUUCCUGUCCUCUGCAACACAAGAGAGUAAAAACAUGUCUGCUAUGAUUCCUGUCAUAUCUUCUCCACAUCCUGUUCGAGCUUUACAGCACAUUACUUCAGCUGUCGAAGCAUCAUACAGAUAUACAGAUGACCUGAGAACUAACACAAGUGCACAGGACACCAGCUCACACCGCUCGACUCUGCACUGGAACAUCAGCAAUAAUAGCAAUAAUGAAGCAGCGUGAGUACCUGACUCUGUGCCUAUUAACACACACAAGCCACAUAUCACACAACUCCUGUACCAAUUAAAGCUGCUCAAGGUGCUGUCAUGGCUCAUGUUCACACUUUCAUGCCUCUCAUCUUCCUGAAUAUUCCACCACUUAGAGCUGCAAAUGUGCGUCUCU